AGACGACAAACUCCGGUUUCGGCCCGUAUAAAGGUAUUAACUUACCCGCCUU
Molecule: transfer RNA, 52 nt
Filed under: Platynereis bicanaliculata
Lineage: Eukaryota; Metazoa; Annelida; Polychaeta; Phyllodocida; Nereididae
Description: tRNA-Arg
Source: RNAcentral